Molecule: long non-coding RNA, 7518 nt
Filed under: Gossypium barbadense (sea-island cotton)
Lineage: Eukaryota; Viridiplantae; Streptophyta; Magnoliopsida; Malvales; Malvaceae
Description: long non-coding RNA (GBAR_LNC018154)
Source: RNAcentral
AUUCUUGCUCUUAUGUUUUUUUUUACCUUUUCAUGCUUAAGAUGGAGAUUUAAUUAAAUUUUGUUUAAUUUAGUCCUUAAUCUUAUUGGCUUUUAUGGAUAUAAGGGUGAAGAAAUGGGGGGGGUCGAAUGAGCUAAUUAAAUUAGGACAGUAGAUUUAAUUUUGAGAAAACCAUAAUUUGCGGGAAAAUAAGUAAGUAGCAAAACCUACCACCGUAUCAUUGGGUAAAAUCUUACACGUGUCUGGCUCUGCGGCUCAGCGUCACCGUCAUCGGCGGUGCUCGUCGUCACUGUCGUGAAACUUUAUCAAUUUAUGUCUGGCGCUUUUUUUCUUCUUUUCAUUCUUUCUUUGAGGUUUUUUUUUUUAAUUACAAGUGAAAUCGAAAUGUCCAGGAUUUUGGUUGUUUAUUAAAUGUUAAGUUUGAGUUUUGAGUUAAGAGUGGAUAGCCAAAUGGAUUAUUAUCCUUAUAUGGAAAUGAUAGUUACAUAGUGCUUAAACCCUGUGAUCUCAUCCCAAUAUAAUUUGGAGAUAAAAUUUAAUUAUUCUUCAACUCAUCAAUUGAAUCCUUAUAUGGAAUUUUGUGGGUGUUGCAGCAUGUUGAAGUUCCGGUUCCCAGUCCAAAAAAGGAUGAAGUUUUGAUCAAAGUAGAGGCAGCUAGUAUUAACCCAAUCGACUGGAAAAUACAGGAGGGGGUAGCGCGCCCAUUUUUACCUCGCAAAUUCCCCCACAUUCCUGGUACUGUUACUUUUCUCUAGAUGGUUCAGCCCAAUGGUUUAUUUUGCAUCAGUUUUCAGUGCUUUAGUGGAUUUAAAGCAUCGAAACUUUUCUUUCUUUUACUAGUUUGAAUGCUUGUUUUCAAUCAUUAACUAAAGAACAUUUGGUGGAGCAGGUACCGAUGUAGCAGGAGAAAUCGUACAAGUUGGAUCAGGUGUCCAGAGUUUCAAAGUCGGGGAUACAGUUGUUGCCGUACUUGGUGUAAGUACUCAUUCUUAUUCUUGGGUUUGUUGCAUACUUGCAAGUGGGAAACAUAUGUAUGUUUGAUGUUACACUCGACAAGUUCGUUGGUUCAAGUUUUACUACAACCAAGCCAUAAGAUUCUUGUUCGCCAUUAUUAUUCAUCUCCUUGUUUUAAAUGCUAUCUAGCAUCAUUUAUGUCCUUUUUCGUGCCAAUCUCUUAUUAUAUGAAUCUAUUUUGCAAUCAUAGAAUGGAGGUGCACUAGCUGAAUAUGCUGUGGCUAAGGAAGGUUCCACAGUUCCAAGGCCUCCAGAGGUAUCAGCCCCUGAAGCUGCAGCUUUGCCAAUUGCUGGCCUUGCAGCUCACCAGUCACUCACCCAGCUUGCUGGUCUCAAACUUGAUGGAACCGGCCCACAAGUAAAUGUUCUGGUUACCGCUGCUUCAGGUGGAGUAGGUCAAUAUGCAGUGCAACUCCUAAAGCUUGCAAAUGCACACAUUACAGCCACUUGUGGGGCUCGUAAUAUGGAUUUAGUCAGGAGCCUGGGGGCUGAUGAGGUUCUUGACUACAAAACUCCUGAGGGGGUGGCUCUCAAAAGCCCUUCUGGUCGCAAAUACGAUGUAAUCAUCCACUGUGCACACAACAUUCCUUGGUCUACCUUUUCGGCUAAUUUGACUCCAAAAGGAAAGGUAGUAAAUACCACUCCUGGUUUCGGUACUUUGAUGAGUGUUGCUGCGAAAAAGAUUUCAUGCUCAAAGAAGCAACUCAUACCCUUGUUUACCUCACCUAAGAAAGAGAACCUCGAUUUUCUUGUUAAGUUGGUGAGAGAUGGAAAGCUUAAGCCAAUAAUCGAUUCGAAGCAUCCUCUAAGUAAGGCCGAAGAUGCUUGGGCUAAGAGCAUUGAUGGCCAUGCCACUGGCAAGAUUCUUGUGGAGCCCUAGUUUAUGAAGAUUACUUGAUGCAUACAUUAAAUUUAUACUUUUUCUGUGAGUGGGGUUGCUUAUGAGUUAUUUGUAUAUUAACAAGUACUCUGUAUUUUGAAGAAUACAAAUGUUGGUGUGUGAGUUCUUUAUUUGUUGGCAAUUUCAAGUGUGCUAACUGUAAUGUUAUUCAAAACUGUGUUUUGUUAUAAAAUUUAAAAUUCAAAAUUCAAAAUGUUGUUUAAUGCCAUGGAAAAUUAGAUUUUAUUUUUGUAAUAUUGAAGUAACCAUUUCAUUUCACGAACACAAUUUGCUCACUAUUUCAUUCGCAAAUGGACCGUCGGUGAAUAUUGAAGGGAGUGAACAAUUACUCACCAUUUCAUUUCUCGAACACAAAUUGCACUACAUUUUCUUUCACAAUUUCUCUCAAAUCUUUAAAUAAUUUUUUAAGCUUUUGAUUCUUAUCAAUCAAUCUUGAAAAGUUUAUUUCUAACAAAAAUUUUUAUGUUUUUAAGAUCAAAACACGAUUUUCCAUUUUUUUUUUCUAAGGGAGAUCGACUUCUUGAUUGUUCUUGACUUUGAUUUCUGAAAAAUUGAAACUUAAUUUCUAAUGAUUUUCUCAUUUUUAAAGCUAUGCUGAUGUUGAUUGGAUUAGAGAGAGUCGAGAUUUCUUUUUGUUUUCAGGGUAGAUUUACAUUGCUAAUGAGUUUAUAAUUUUAUUAGGAUGUUAGGAAUUAGACUUAAUUGGAGAUUGAAUAUAGUUCUUAGAAAUUGUCUUUAACGAGAAAGUGAGGAGGAAUUGAGUUUUCAACAGAGAAUUCAAUGUUUUUAGGUUAGUUUUAAGUUCUUAAGUAUGAAUAUAAGGUUAGAUUUGAGUUACAGUAAGUUUCAAUUUGAAUUCUUGAAAGUGGGCAUUGAAGUGCGAAAGUGUACUGCUAAAUCAUAUUGCAUGAUUUUGUUGAAUUUUAAAGGUUUUGAUUGUUAUGAUUUGUUGUUCUAACUUGGUUUAUUGUGUUGAUAUUGGCUUUGAAGUAAAAGAUGUUGGUGAGAGAUUUAAAGACAAAAGGAAGGAAAAUAUCAUUGAAGCUCGAGUGGUUUCAGUUUGUGCAAUUCGAUCUUUAGAUUUAUCUUUGUUAGGAUUGAGUGACCCGAAUGUUAAAAUAAAAGACAGUGGUAAAAUAAAAUAAAAAUAAAAUCCAUAUAGAACUACACUUCUUUUAUUUUAUUUUAGAAUAAUGUUUUUUAACCUUAUUACACUUCAUCUAUUUGAUAUUGAUUAGAAUAAGGUGAUUCAACCUUACUACACAUCUUCUAUUAAAAUAUGGUUUUACAAGCUUAUAAAUAGACAGUCUACUCCUCUUGUAAUUAUUCGAAUUCGACAUAGUGAAUUAUCUUCUCCUCUACCUGUGGUUUUUUCUCGAAAAAGUUUCCACGUAAAAAUCUGUGUGUUUCGUUCUUUUUUUUUUUGUGAUACAUUAUCAUUAUCGACGUUCUAUUUUUUUCACAAUCUUAUGUUAUAAUCUAGAUUGAGUUGAUAAAAUAUGAUUUUUACCGAGAUAAUUUUGAUUUAAUGCCAUGAUUACAAGUCAAAUUGAAAGUAGGCACGAAAUGCCUAUGGUUGAAUGUCAACUGUUAUCUUGAAAGGGCCUUACCCUAUUACCCUUAUCUUGUUACUUAUGGGUGGGAGAUGAUCAGCUUCAGAUUCCUCCUUUCCUCUAAUUAAAAUACACUCAAAUUUCAUUUACUCCCAAAUUUUUCAACACAUUUCACUUCCAAAAUUUACUAUUUUUUUAAUCAUGCAAGUAUCUGUUUUUUUUUUCAUUGUUUGUAACAUGUUGAAUUUUUUCAUUAAUAUAACUUCUGUGGGAUGUUCUGUGUGCCUUUGUUAUGGAUUUUAAUCCACGGCACAUGACGUUCCAAGUUCAAUAUUUGUUGAUGUGAUGGAAAUGAUGGUGAAAAGACAAUGUCCUAUUAGUACUUCGAUUUUGCCAACUUUUUUAGAGGAAAAAUAAUAUUUGAAUAAAAACUAAUGAAUAAUUUUUCAUGUAGAGCAUUAAUCACAAAACAAAACUUCACAAACAAAAUCCAACUAUCCAUAGGAGCAUCUACAAUUCGAAUUAGAUUAAAAUUAAAUAUCGAACAAAACACAAUGCUCAAAUAUAUUACAUCUAACACAACAUAUGACGAAAAAAGCAACACGCACACCAAGAUUUGUAUUGUUCAAAAUACAGAGUACUUGUGAAUAUACGAAUGACUCAUAAGCAACCCCACUCAUUGAAAAAGUAUAAAAUUACUGUAUGCAUCAAGUAAUCUUCAUAAACUAAGGCUCCACAAGAAUCUUGCCCGUAGCAUGGCCUUCAAUGCUCUUGGCCCAAGCAUUUUCUGCCUUACUUAGAGGAUGCUUUGAAUCGAUUAUUGGCCUAAGCUUUCCUGCUUUCACCAACUUAACAAGAAAAUCGAGGUUCUCUUUCUUGGGUGAGGUGAACAAGGGUAUGAGUUGCUUCUUCGAGCAUUUAAUCUUUUUCACAGCAACACUCAUUAAAGUACCGAAACCAGGGGUGGUAUCUACUACCUUUCCUUUGGGAGUCAAGUUAGCCGAAAAGGUAGACCAGGGAAUGUUGUGUGCGCAGUGGAUGAUUACAUCGUAUUUGCGACCAGAAGGGCUCUUGAGAGCCACCCCAUCAGGAGUUUUGUAGUCAAGAACCUCAUCAGCCCCCAAGCUCCUGACUAAAUCCAUAUUACGAGCCCCACAAGUGGCUGUAAUGUGUGCAUUUGCAAGCUUUAGGAGUUGAACUGCAUAUUGACCUACACCACCUGAAGCAGCGGUAACCAGAACAUUUACUUGUGGGCCGGUUCCAUCAAGUUUGAGACCAGCAAGCUGGGUGAGUGACUGGUGAGCUGCAAGGCCAGCAAUUGGCAAAGCUGCAGCUUCAGGGGCUGAUACCUCUGGAGGCCUUGGAACUGUGGAACCUUCCUUAGCCACAGCAUAUUCAGCUAGUGCACCUCCAUUCUAUGAUUGCAAAAUAGAUUCAUAUAAUAAGAGAUUGGCACAACAAAGGACAUAAAUGAUGCUAGAUAACAUAUAAAACAAGGACAUGAAUGAUAACGGAGAAAAAGAAUCUAUGGCUUGGUUGUUGUAAAACUUGAACCAACGAACUUGUCGAGUGUAACAUCAAACAUACAUAUGUUUCCCACUUGCAAGUAUGCAACAAACCCAAGAAUAAGAAUGAGUACUUACACCAAGUACGGCAACAACUUUAUCCCCGACUUUGAAACUCUGGACACCUGAUCCAACUUGUACGAUUUCUCCUGCUACAUCGGUGCCUGCUCCACCAAAUUUUCUUUAGCUAAUGAUUGAAAACAAGCAUUCAAACUAGUACAAGAAAGAAAAGUUUUGAUGCUUUAAAUCCAUUAAAGCAUUGAAAACUAAUGCAAAAUAAACCAUUGGGCUGAACCAUCUAGAGAAAAGUAACAGUACCAGGAAUGUGGGGGAAUUUGCGAGGUAAAAAUGGGCGCGCUACCCCCUCCUGUAUUUUCCAGUCGAUUGGGUUAAUACUAGCUGCCUCUACUUUGAUCAGAACUUCAUCCUUUUUUGGACUGGGAAUCGGAACUUCAGCAUGCUGCAACACCCAUAAAUUUCACAUUCAUUAUAAGAUUACGUCACCGGCCAUUUUUUUUCAAGUUUAUUAAAAAACAGAAGACAAAUGUUUGGAAAUGAUUUUGCAGAAAGAAAAAAGAGAGAGAGAGAGAGAGUUGACUUAGCUGUCAAAAUCGUUUAAUUCCCAAUAAUUUGGCCUCAAUGUUAAAUCUACGGUACUAAUAUAAUUAACCAAUCCUAAUAAACUUGAUUAAGGACUAAACUAAACAAGAAUUUAAUUAAAACUCCAUCUUAUGCAUGGAAAAGAACUACACAUUUCUUUUGAUCCUUACUUUUAAACUCGAAACAAAGCAAGAAUAUUACCUUGAGAUCAGCAGCUCCUCCGUUAUAUUUACUGUAUUGAACACCACGCAUCAGAUUCUUGGCCAUUUUCUUUCUUUUUCUAAGAGAAUAAAAACCGAAAGCUCCUUUUUAAGCUUGUGGGAAGGCAAAAAAACUCAAGAUUAGAAUGUGAGACAGAGAAGGAGGGAAGGAUUGGACGGAAUAUUUUGGCGUCAGAUACUUUGAAUUUAUAGUAAAGUAAUGCAGACAUGGAAUGGUUCCUUCCGAUCAAAGCGAGAUCAUUGAAUGGGUAUAGGUGUGAACUGUGAAACCGAUGUGAUGUUCUAGAAGCAUUUGACUUUUUUUAAUUAUUCUUUUGAGGUCAAAUUCAUAAUUUUUUUAUUCAAUUGAUUGGAGAAUGUGUGUACUGUAUGGAAGUUUCGAUAACAUGUUUUGUUGAAUGGAAAUGCUUUUUCAUUUUGCUUAAACAUUUAACGUUCGAAAAUUCAUUCGAAAAAUAAAAUAAUUAGGAUAAAAAUAUGAAAUUUUAAAACAAUUAAUUGCUUCUUAUAUUUUAUUUUGCCUAGUGAUGGUAUCGUCCGCAUUUUCAUCCCUCCCACCACCCAUUUCUUUCUUUUUUUUUUCUCGUUCAUUCCAGUUUAUAAAUUUACUUUGUGGGUAUAUUUUUUCAUUGAAUGAAUUAAUGAAUUUACCCUGUAUCAAUUUUUAUCUAAAAAAAUCAUUUUAAAAUAAGCACUGAAUCAACUCAAAGAAAAGCCAUUUACCAAAAAGAAAACAAGUUGGAAGUUGCCAAUUGAUAUAAUUAAAAAGGAAUAGCCGGCAGAGAUGGAACCCAAUUUAAACACGUGGUAUAGUAUCGAAACUUUGACUUUAAAAAAAUUCAACUGCCUCUAGAGCAUCAGAUUCGGUUUUGUAAUUCACACCUACACACGCAUUACAAUCGGGAACACCCAUUCCAUGUCUGGAUUGCAUUACUAUAAAUUCAAACUAUCAAACGCCAACAUACAUCAUCCCACAAUCCUAUCCUAUCCAAUCCUUCCCUCCUUCACUUUCUCUGAUCUUCUUUCUUUGCCUUCGCUCGCUUUUCAUUUUUUUUCUUAGGAAAAACAAAAAAGAAAUGGCUAAUAAUUUGAUGCGUGCCGUUCAAUACAGUAAAUAUGGCGGAGGAGCCGAUGAUUUGAAGGUGAUCUACUUGCUUCUCUCUUUUUUUUUUUUUUUGACCAAAUACCUUUGAGUUUGUCUCCAUUUGAUAUAAGAGUUUAGACUGAGAGCUUGACAGCAGUGUCGAUAUAUAUAUUUUUGAUGACCUUGAAAAAAGAUAUUGUUGGUCACCUGAUUUCAUAACGAGUGUGAAUUUUGUGGGUGUUGCAGCAUGUUGAAGUUCUGAUUCCCAGCCCAAAAAAGGAUGAAGUUCUGAUCAAAUUAGAGGCAGCUAGUAUUAACCCAAUCGACUGGAAAAUACAGGAAGGGGUAGCCCGCCCAUUUUUACCUCGCAAAUUCCCCCACAUUCCUGGUACUUUUUUCUUUUCUCAUGCCUGUUUCAGUCGCAUGCAUUGCAUUCUGAGCUUCACUUGUUUAGUAUCCUCUGGAUGGUUCAGCCCAAUAAUCUGAUUUGCAUCAGUUUUCAUUUGUGGAUUUAAAGCAUCCAAACUUUUCUUCUUUCUUGUGUUCAAUCAUUGGCUAAACAACAUUUGGUGGAGCAGGC